RNAcentral lists this long non-coding RNA (631 nucleotides) under Populus trichocarpa (black cottonwood). RNAcentral describes it as "long non-coding RNA (PTRI_LNC004431)". The record is from RNAcentral. Lineage: Eukaryota; Viridiplantae; Streptophyta; Magnoliopsida; Malpighiales; Salicaceae.
CUAUUGGUUUGUUAAAAAGAUAUGUUUUAUUCAUUAACUUCGUAGAUUUAUACUAUAGCAUACCUUGAAUGCACAAAAUGCUUCUUUAAAGUGAUUUACAAAAGCUACUUAAGCUCGAUGGAUGUGUAAAAUGGCUUCAGAAACUUUAUUAAAUAAAUAAAUGAAAGCUAACAAUAAUGCUCAAAGAGCAUGAGAAAUCUUAAUUUUUUUCCAUAGAAAUAACUCCACUAAAGUUCUUAACAUCAACCACCUCCACAACCUCCACCACAACCACCUCCUCCACCUCCACCACAACCACCUCCUCCACCACAACCACCUCCUCCACCUCUGCCACCUCCGCCUGAACCACUAUCACCGCAAGCGAAUAUGACCAUUGAAAUAAUUGACAAGGAAACAACAAUCAUGCAUAACAACAGAAAAGCCUCAGAGGAAUCAAGCAGGAAGCCUGCUUCUGAAUGGACACUGCCUUCAUAAACUAUGAACUCUCUCGCCAUCUUAAUUUCCUAAGAUAUAUGCUCCAAACACAAAGCUCGCUGUAGCUCUAAUAUGUGGUUACUAAAACCAUUUUAUAUACAAACUUGCUGGAAUAUUCAAUUGCCUUUGCUUAAGGAAGAGGAUAACUUGGUGGACU